UACGUAGGUCCCGAGCGUUGUCCGGAUUUAUUGGGCGUAAAGCGAGCGCAGGUGGUUUAUUAAGUCUGGUGUAAAAGGCAGUGGCUCAACCAUUGUAUGCAUUGGAAACUGGUAGACUUGAGUGCAGGAGAGGAGAGUGGAAUUCCAUGUGUAGCGGUGAAAUGCGUAGAUAUAUGGAGGAACACCGGUGGCGAAAGCGGCUCUCUGGCCUGUAACUGACACUGAGGCUCGAAAGCGUGGGGAGCAAACCGG
RNAcentral lists this ribosomal RNA (252 nucleotides) under uncultured bacterium. RNAcentral describes it as "partial 16S ribosomal RNA". It matches the Rfam family "Bacterial small subunit ribosomal RNA", at positions 524 to 776 of the family's 1533-position model. The record is from RNAcentral. RNAcentral also lists the same sequence under 1 other name.